AUCCCAGGGGAAACCUGACGGCCAGGGCCCCUCGUGCCAGCUGCCGGGAGGCGGGAGGGAGUGCCCUGAAACUCUAAUCUCAUUGCCUGGCCAGAAAAGGAAGUAAUCCCUAGUGUCAGCAGAUUCAGCGGUACUGGUAUAUAAUAGGAUCACCAAUAUACAACAGGAAAAAACAAAAGUGAAAGAUUAUCAAUAUAGAUUAUUGAGUAGGAGUAAAGAAGGUAAAUCAAAAAGGGGAAAAGAGAUUACAGACACAGAAAAUGUCAGACAACAAAGAAAGGAAGAGUCAAGGAUUUCCUAAAGAAGAUAACCAAGACACAAGUUCAUUAGCUGAUGCUAUAGAGAAAGUUGCAAAGCAACAACAAUCACAAGCAUCAGAGAUAGAAAAAAACAAAAAGGUUCUGUUCAAUUUGAAGAAUGAACUUCAUGAGCUUGAAAAAGAAAUAGCAGCUAUCUCUGCAGAAACUAAAGAAACAGAAAGACAAAUUUAUCAACAAGAUGCUGCCAUAGAGAAUACCAAACUUCAUUGUGAUAGCCUGGAAACUCAAAUCAAAUCCUUACAUUCAGAAAAUGUAAAGCUUAAAUUUGACAUAGAAACAGCCCAAGAAGAUUUUGAGGAACACAUGAAAAAAUAUAACGCAUAUUAUGCAAAAAUAAAAGCACAUAAAAAUAGUUUGGGGGAAGUAGAGAGCAAAUGGUCAUUUAUGACUGAACUCCAUGAAAAGCGAGAUUUUGUUAAAAAAUUAAAGACAAUGAAAGAAGAACUUAUGCAAGAUCUUCAAAAUCCAGGAGGGAACCGAAUAACACAAGUACAGGAAGACAUUACAAACUUAAAGGAUAAAAUUAUAACUGUAAAAGAAUCUAUCAUUGAAAAAACUUGUUUUCUUGAGGAAGAAAAAAAGACACAUGAAAAAUUAAGAAAAGAAAUAGAGAGUCUCGCCCCAUCGCCCAGGCUGGAGUGCAGUAGUGCAAUCUCGGCUCACUGCAAGCUCUGCCUCCCAGGUUCACGCCAUUCUCCUGCCUCAGCCUCCGGAGUAGCUGGGACUACAGGCGCCCGCCACCACGCCCUGCUAAUUUUUUGCAUUUUUAGUAGAGACGGGGUUUCACCUUGUUAGCCAGGAUGGUCUUGAUCUCCUGACCUCAUGAUCCACCCGCCUCGGCCUCCCAAAGUGUUGGGAUUACAGGCGUGAGCCACCGCGCCCGGCCUUAAUUUAACUUUUAAGUUCAGGGGUGUGUAUGCACGUUUGUUAUAUAGAUACAUUUCUGUCAUAGUUUGUUGUACAGAUUAUUUCAAUAGCCAGGUAUUAAGCCUAGUACCCAUUAGUUAUUUUUCCUGAUCCUUUCCCUCCUCUCACCGUCCAGUGUGUGUUGUUUCCCUCUAUGUGUCCAUAAGUUCUCAUCAUUUAGCUCCCACUUAUAAGUGAGAACAUCCAGUAUUUGGUUUUCUGUUCCUGCAUUAAUUCACUUAGGAUAGUGGCCUCCAGCUCCAUUCAUGUUCCUGCAAAGGACAUAAUCUCAUUCUUUUUAUGGCUGCAUAGUAUUUCAUGGUGUAUAUGUACCACAUUUUCUUUAUCCAGACUACCACUGAUGGGCAUUUAGGUUGAUUCCAUGUCUUUGCUAUUGUGAAUAUUGUUGCAAUGCACUUACACGUGUAUGUGUCUUUAUGAUAGAAUGAUUUAUAUUCCUUUGGGUAUAUAAUCAGUAAUGGGAUUGCUGGGUUGAAUGAGAUUCUGUUUUUAAGUCUGAGGAAUUGCCACACUGUCUUCCACAAUGGUUGAACUAAUUUACACUCCCACCAACAGUGUAUAAGUGUUCUUUUUCUCUGCAACCUUGUCAGCAUGUUUUUUGUUUGUUUGUUUGUUUUGUUUUAUUUUUUUACUUUUUGAUACUAGUGAUGAUGGUAUCUCCUUGUGGUUUUGGUUUACAUUUCCCUAAUGAUUCAUGAUGCUGAACUUUUUUUUGGUAGUUUAAUAGGAAUAGCAUCAAAUCUAUACAUUGCUUUGGAUAGUAUGGCCAUUUUAAUGAUACUGAUUCUUCCUAUCCAUGAGCAUGGAAUGUUUUUCCAUUUGUUUAUGUCAUCUCUAAUUUAUUUGAGCAGUAUUUUAUAGUUCUACUUGUAGAGAUCUUUUACCUCCCUGAUUAGCUGUGUUCUUAGGGGUGUGUGUGUGUGUGUGUCUGUGUGUGUGUGGCAACUGUGAAUGGGAUUUGGCUCAGCUUGAUUGGUGUUAUAUAGGAGUGCUAGUGAUUUUUGCAUAUUGAUUUUGUAUCCUAAGACUUUGCUGAAGUUGUUUAUCAGCUUAAGAAGCUUUUGGGCCAGGACUGUUGGGUUUUCUAGAUAUAGCAUCAUGUCGUCUGCAAACAGGGCUAGUUUGGCUUCCUCUCUUCUUAUUUGUAUAUGUUUUAUUUCUUUCUCUUGCCUGAUUGCUCUGGCCAGGACUUCGCAUACUAUGUCAAGUAAGAGUAGUGAGAGAGGGGAUCCUUGUCUUUUGCUGGUUUUCAAGAGGAAUGCCUCUGGGUUUUGCCCAUUGAGUAUGAUGUUGGCUGUGGGUUUGUCAUAGAUGGCUCUUAUUAUUUUCAGGUAUGUUCCUUCAGUACUUAGUUUAUUGAGAGUUUUUAACAUGAAUGGUUGUUAAAUUGUAUCGACAGUCUUUUCUGCAUCUAUUGAGAUAAUUCAUGUUGUGUUUGUCUUCAGUUCUGUUUAUAUGAUGAAUCAUAUUUAUUGAUUUGCAUAUGUUGAACCAAACUUGCAUCCCAGGUAUAAAGCUUACUUGAUGGUGAUGGAUAAGCUUUUUGAUGUGCUUCUGGAUUCAAUUUAACAGUAUUUUGUUGGGGAUUUGUGCAUCGAUGUUCAUCAAGGAUAUUGACCUGAAGUUUCCUUUUUGUUACGUCUCUUUCAGGUUUUGGUAUCAGGAUGAUUCUGGCCUCAUAGAAUGAGUUAGGGAGGAGUCCCUCCUCCUCAAUUUUUUGGAAUAGUUUUGGCAGGAAUGGUACCAGCUCUUCUUUGUAUAUCUGAUAGAAUUAAGCUGUGAACCCAUCUGGUACUGGGCUUUUUUCAGUUGGUAGGCUAUUUAUUACUGAAUUAAUUCCAGAGCUUGUUACUGGUCUGUUCAGAGAUUCGAUUUCUUCCCUGUUCAGUCUUGGGAGGGUGUAUGUGUCCAGGAAUUUAUCCAUUUCUUCUAGAUUUCCUAGCUUAUGUGUGUAGGGGUGUUCAUAAUAUUCUCUGAUGGUUAUUUGUAUUUCUGUGGGGUCAGUGGUGAUAUCCUCCUCAUUUCUGAUUAGGUUUAUUUUGAUCUUCUCUAUUUUCUUCUGUAUUAGUCUAGCUAGCAGUUUAUCUGUUUUAUUAAUUUUUUCAAAAAACCAGCUCCUAGAUUCACUGAUCUUUUUGAAGGGUUUUUUUUGGUCUCAGUCUCCUUCAGCUCUGAUUUUGGUUAUUGUCUUCUACUAGCUUUGGGCUUGGUUUGCUUUUG
This 3467-nucleotide small RNA is filed under the name Pan troglodytes (chimpanzee). Its description in RNAcentral is "processed transcript". The record is from RNAcentral. Lineage: Eukaryota; Metazoa; Chordata; Mammalia; Primates; Hominidae.